Gasterosteus aculeatus aculeatus (three-spined stickleback) is the source of this 1219-nucleotide long non-coding RNA. Lineage: Eukaryota; Metazoa; Chordata; Actinopteri; Perciformes; Gasterosteidae. The record is from Ensembl.
GGUGUCAGAAGUGGGAUCGUUUGAAGCUCCGUCGGGACUCCGAGGACGUCCGGGAAGGGGCCACUUCAGGAUCCACCAAACGUGAUUCUGCCCUAUACCUCAUCACACUCAGAGAGAGGGGACCGGCGACCAAAAGAGACCUGAUUGGCUUCAACACGAUCCGAUGAGGAAGAUUUUCACACGAAUCGGUCUCACAGGGGCUGGCGGCCCUCUCCUCAACACAUGCCCACCACCGUACCCUGCUUCAUCUGCGAACCAGCAACCUCCGUCUGCAGGAGCACAUAUCAAAGUUCACUACACCCGGCAGAGGGAGGAAAAGGAAGCGGCAGUGAAAGCAGCACAGGAACGACUCCUCGGCGAAGAGGAGGAAAAGAGACAGGCUGCUCUCCUCACUCGAUCUCGCUCUCCAGGAGCAACCGGAGGGGACACUUCUGCCAUCAACAAACUGAUUGCAGAGCAACCAUCUACAUCAGAUGUUUUUUCCCCCUCUUUCACCCCUGAGGGAGUUCCCCCGGAUGCAAAAUCUGUGCUCCAAACCCCAAUGAUUCAAGUACCAGGACACUCAGGUCCCAUACUUGUUUUCCGGCCUUGGACUGAUACGGACAUUAGAGCUGCAAUGGCUCAUCUCCCGCCGAUACAGCACUCGGGAAGACUGUUUGCUGAAGCAUUCAUGGACUUCUGUAAGCAAUUCCUGCCCAACUUUGCUGAAAUUCGACGUGUUCUAAUGAGUCACGUGGGUCCGACUCACUACCAGAAGCUCAACCAGCUGGUUGCAGGAGACACCAGUGCGGCAGACGUUGAAUGGAGUUCAAAUCAAAAUAAGCCGUACAGAGACGCACUCACGGCUUUGAACGACGGCAUAAAGACAUUGUUCCCUGACAAAGUGGAUAUGACUCCCAUCAACAAUACCAAGCAGGCAGCGGGUGAGUCCGUCCAUGAUUACUACCAAAGACUUCUCACAGUGUUUAAUCUUAACAGUGGCAUUCCACAACCCGCCGCGUUAGGAGACGCUCUGGGGACGUGGGAAUCACACCUGAAGAAUGCUUUCAUGAAUGGACUAUUACCCGACAUAAAAAUGAAUGUGCAGCGCUCUGUGGCUGGAAUGGAAGACUCGCGACUCGCGGAUGUAAAGAAACAUGCUGCGCAUGCGCAAUCCAUGGACAUAGAGAGAACUGACCACGAGGGGAAAAGGCGCUCACGUCAGAUUGAACUCGCCCAA